UCCAAAAGCUGAGGCGCCCAAGGAUAGGUCUGCGGCCGAUUAGGUUGUUGUUGAUGUAAUGGAUCAACAAGCCUGCAAUCGGUACGGGUUGUGAGAGCAAGAGCCCGGAGAUGGGUUCUGAGAAAAGAACCCAGGUCCUACGGGACGCAUCAGGCGCGAAAACUUUACAAUGUGCGAAAGCACGAUAAGGGAACUCUGAGUGCCUCCUAUGGAGGCUGUUCAGGUGUCUAAAAAGCACUUGAAGUAAGGGCUGGGUAAGACCGGUGCCAGCCGCCGCGGUAACACCGGCAGCCCAAGUGGUAGCCACGAUUAUUGGGUCUAAAGCGUCCGUAGCCGGCCAGGUAAGUUCUUUGGGAAAUUUAACCGCUCAACGGUUAAGCUUUCAGGGAAUACUGCUUGGCUUGGGACCGGGAGAGGUCAGAGGUACUUCAAGGGUAGGGGUGAAAUCCGUUAAUCCUUGAGGGACCACCAGUAGCGAAGGCGUCUGACCAGACCGGGUCCGACGGUGAGGGACGAAGGCUAGGGUCGCGAACCGGAUUAGAUACCCGGGUAGUCCUAGCUGUAAACGAUGCGGGCCAGGUGUUGGCAUUACUGCGAGUGAUGUCAGUGCCGAAGGGAAGCCGUUAAGCCCGCCAUCUGGGGAGUACGGUCGCAAGGCUGAAACUUAAGGAAUUGGCGGGGGAGCACCACAACGGGUGGAGCCUGCGGUUCAAUUGGAGUCAACGCCGGA
RNAcentral lists this ribosomal RNA (730 nucleotides) under uncultured archaeon. RNAcentral's name for it is "bacterial SSU rRNA". It matches the Rfam family "Archaeal small subunit ribosomal RNA", at positions 186 to 922 of the family's 1478-position model. The record is from RNAcentral.